This 497-nucleotide ribosomal RNA is filed under the name uncultured bacterium. RNAcentral's name for it is "partial 16S ribosomal RNA". It matches the Rfam family "Bacterial small subunit ribosomal RNA", at positions 28 to 507 of the family's 1533-position model. The record is from RNAcentral.
GAUGAACGCUGGCGGCGUGCCUAAUACAUGCAAGUCGAGCGAACGGACGAGAAGCUUGCUUCUCUGAUGUUAGCGGCGGACGGGUGAGUAACACGUGGAUAACCUACCUAUAAGACUUGGAUAACUUCGGGAAACCGGAGCUAAUACUGGCUAAUAUUUUGAACCGCAUGGUUCAAAAGUGAAAGACGGUCUUGCUGUCUCUUAUAGAUGGAUCCGCGCUGCAUUAGCUAGUUGGUAAGGUAACGGCUUACCAAGGCAACGAUGCAUAGCCGACCUGAGAGGAUGAUCAGCCACACUGGAACUGAGACACGGUCCAGACUCCUACGGGAGGCAGCAGUAGGGAAUAUUGCGCAAUGGGCGAAAGCCUGACGGAGCAACGCCGCGUGAGUGAAGAAGGUCUUCGGGUCGUAAAACUCUGUUAUUAGGGAAGAACAGAUGUGGAAGUAAAUGUGCACGUCUUGACGGUACCUAAUCAGAAAGCAACGGCUAACUACGUG